RNAcentral lists this ribosomal RNA (548 nucleotides) under uncultured bacterium. RNAcentral describes it as "bacterial SSU rRNA". It matches the Rfam family "Bacterial small subunit ribosomal RNA", at positions 355 to 896 of the family's 1533-position model. The record is from RNAcentral.
UGGGGAAUUUUGGACAAUGGGCGCAAGCCUGAUCCAGCAAUGCCGCGUGCAGGAUGAAGGCCUUCGGGUUGUAAACUGCUUUUGUACGGAACGAAACGGCGAGCUCUAAUACAGUUUGCUAAUGACGGUACCGUAAGAAUAAGCACCGGCUAACUACGUGCCAGCAGCCGCGGUAAUACGUAGGGUGCAAGCGUUAAUCGGAAUUACUGGGCGUAAAGCGUGCGCAGGCGGUUAUGUAAGACAGAUGUGAAAUCCCCGGGCUUAACCUGGGAACUGCAUUUGUGACUGCAUAGCUAGAGUACGGUAGAGGGGGAUGGAAUUCCGCGUGUAGCAGUGAAAUGCGUAGAUAUGCGGAGGAACACCGAUGGCGAAGGCAAUCCCCUGGACCUGUACUGACGCUCAUGCACGAAAGCGUGGGGAGCAAACAGGAUUAGAUACCCUGGUAGUCCACGCCCUAAACGAUGUCAACUGGUUGUUGGGUCUUCACUGACUCAGUAACGAAGCUAACGCGUGAAGUUGACCGCCUGGGGAGUACGGCCGCAAGGUUG